This 30-nucleotide non-coding RNA is filed under the name Mus musculus (house mouse). Lineage: Eukaryota; Metazoa; Chordata; Mammalia; Rodentia; Muridae. The record is from RNAcentral.
UAGGUACUGCUUUUCCUGUUGAGGAUCUCU